RNAcentral lists this ribosomal RNA (631 nucleotides) under Caulobacter sp. YP6. Its description in RNAcentral is "bacterial SSU rRNA". It matches the Rfam family "Bacterial small subunit ribosomal RNA", at positions 55 to 732 of the family's 1533-position model. The record is from RNAcentral. Lineage: Bacteria; Pseudomonadati; Pseudomonadota; Alphaproteobacteria; Caulobacterales; Caulobacteraceae.
GUGCGAGUCGAACGGAUCCUUCGGGAUUAGUGGCGGACGGGUGAGUAACACGUGGGAACGUGCCCUUUGGUUCGGAACAACUCAGGGAAACUUGAGCUAAUACCGGAUAAGCCUUUCGAGGGAAAGAUUUAUCGCCAUUGGAGCGGCCCGCGUAGGAUUAGCUAGUUGGGGAGGUAAAAGCUCACCAAGGCGACGAUCCUUAGCUGGUCUGAGAGGAUGAUCAGCCACAUUGGGACUGAGACACGGCCCAAACUCCUACGGGAGGCAGCAGUGGGGAAUCUUGCGCAAUGGGCGAAAGCCUGACGCAGCCAUGCCGCGUGAAUGAUGAAGGUCUUAGGAUUGUAAAAUUCUUUCACCGGGGACGAUAAUGACGGUACCCGGAGAAGAAGCCCCGGCUAACUUCGUGCCAGCAGCCGCGGUAAUACGAAGGGGGCUAGCGUUGCUCGGAAUUACUGGGCGUAAAGGGAGCGUAGGCGGAUAGUUUAGUCAGAGGUGAAAGCCCAGGGCUCAACCUUGGAAUUGCCUUUGAUACUGGCUAUCUUGAGUACGGAAGAGGUAUGUGGAACUCCGAGUGUAGAGGUGAAAUUCGUAGAUAUUCGGAAGAACACCAGUGGCGAAGGCGACAUACUGG